CAAUAGCGUAUAUUAAAGUUGUUGCAGUUAAAAAGCUCGUAGUUGGAUUUCGGGGUGGCCUGGCUGGUCCGCCGCAAGGUGAGUACUGGUCAGCCGCCCUUCCUCUCGAAAGCCCCGACUGCUCUUUACUGCAGUGGUCGGGUAGUUCGGGACGUUUACUUUGAAAAAAUUAGAGUGUUCAAGGCAGGCUAUCGCCUGAAUACAUUAGCAUGGAAUAAUGGAAGAGGACCUCGGUCCUAUUUUGUUGGUUUCUAGGGCCGAAGUAAUGAUUAAGAGGGACAGUUGGGGGCAUUCGUAUUUAAUUGUCAGAGGUGAAAUUCUCGGAUUUAUGAAAGACGAACAACUGCGAAAGCAUUUGCCAAGGAUGUUUUCAUUAA
RNAcentral lists this ribosomal RNA (377 nucleotides) under uncultured eukaryote. RNAcentral's name for it is "partial 18S ribosomal RNA". It matches the Rfam family "Eukaryotic small subunit ribosomal RNA", at positions 592 to 976 of the family's 1831-position model. The record is from RNAcentral.